Vigna umbellata (rice bean) is the source of this 2558-nucleotide non-coding RNA. NCBI's taxonomy places the organism in Eukaryota, Viridiplantae, Streptophyta, Magnoliopsida, Fabales, Fabaceae. The record is from RefSeq and is a predicted model, not a curated record.
UUGAUAGAGUUUUUGUUUGAUACGUUUUUCUCUCCUCAUUCUCGAGCCUUCAUCAUGUUCAUGAGAAAAAGUGUCUUCAUCUUCCUUCUUCACAACUCCAUCUUCAGAAUGCUUUUGCAUUCUCAACUCUUUUUGUUUCUCUGUUGGACCUUUAUAUUCUUACUAUCCCUCCAUUAGUUCUUUCCUACCUAUAUAUGAAGGUUAGUCAUCAGCAUAGUUCUCUGCAUCCUAUGUAGAAAAGGAGAAAAGCUUAAGUUGGUGAGGCUGAUUUGGGAUGAAAGAGAUUCAUUAUGCAGGUGAUGAUAUUGAAUGGAAGUGCAUGUGUUGAAGGGUUCAUUGGUGGUUGGAGGGAUUGUGAUGAGAUAUAUCAUCUCAUGUUGACAGAAGAGAGAGAGCACAACCCGAGAAUGGUUAAAGGAGUGUUUGCCUUUGUUGGGAGUGUGCUCUCUCUUCCUCUGUCAUCAUCACAUUCACAUGCCUUUGCUUUCUAGCUAGCUAAACUGCAACAGUACAUGCACCACUCUCUGUUAUACCUUUCAAGAGCCCAGUUUGGACAAAUCUGAAGCAUAAACAUCGGUGUGCUCUGAAACCCCGGUGUGCCAAUUUUGGUGGGACGUGUACGAGUGGAAAGGGAGAACAAUGGAUACCCUUUUCGUCUUCCUUCUUCCAUGAAGAACACACUUUGUUGCUAUUAAUGGUAUGAGAAACUAAAUUUAAUAACUCCCUUUUUACUCCCUGUCUUAUGUACAAGUGUUUAAUAAUUUACUGUAAGUAAUCUGAAUGCUGUUUUAAUUUUUUAAGAGUAGAUAAUCCUGAUAAUGGUGGGUUAAUACUAAAGGGAAUUUCUCUGAAAUAGAGUCUGAUACCAUCUUAUUAACUUGUUUAAAUUUUACUCAAUCUUAUCUUGUAAGAUAGAUUUACACUCACUUCUAUAUUAUUAUAAUUUGACUAGGAUAAUUUUGUUUAAGCAGCAUGAUUUUAGUGUUCAUCAAACCAUUCCAUUGUUGAUAAGAAUGCAAAUAUUUGUUACAGUGAUAACACUCCACUGAUGGCUGCACUGGGAUUAGGUAGAAAAGGGAUAGAUCAGAAAAUGACCUCUUUUCUUUGUUUUGGUUGUGUUUUUUUGACAUUUCUAGUUCUGUAUAUAGCACCCUUUUGAUGAGCACGCUUAUCCACCACCAUAAUUGGAAGGGCAACCAGUUACAUACUCUGCAUCCACCCUAAAACCAGUGUAAACUGAUAUACAUAGGAAAGGUUGUUGCUUACGUGAUAUUAAAGAUUUUACCAUUAUCACUCUAUAAAGGUGAGUUUUGGUCCAUUUGGGAUGGAUUUCAUCCUCAAACGGAUCUACUCAUAAAGGUAACAAUAAAAUUCAGUAAUGGAAUCAAUUAACAUCAUUUUGUGCAAGUCAUCCAACAAGGAAAUCCAUUUCACUACACACCAUAUUUGUUGAUCUUUCUUGAAAAACUUGAGAUAAGUAGCCUCGCUUUAAUUUACAUUUUGGAAAUUGAUUUUAGAAGAUUUUAAUUCUCAAGUAUCUUUGAAAAAAAAUAUUAUUACUCAGAUAUAAUUAUUAAAUAUGACUUUUAAAGUAAUUAUCAGGAAUCUAAAUAAUAAUUUUAAAAAAUAUUUUUAUUUUUUAAAAACUAAAUCAAUAAAAAAAAAGUGUGAAAUAUGUCGCAUAGUACUAGUGGAACAUGACAGCUUUUACAUUUGGCUAUUCCAAGGCAUUGGCAUGCAAGGACUAUAAAUGAAUAAGAUAGAGAGAUCAACAUGUCAACCAAAAUGUUCCUCUCUUAGUAUAGUUGAUACAAUGAAACUUGUAAUUGAGAAUAACCAUUCAAAUAUGGGAACCUGGAUAUAUAAAGUAUAAACUGACAACAAUAUAUUCUAACAUAACUCUGCACCCACUCACUAAAUAGAUUUAUGUUAGAGAUAUUAUUGAAAAAACAGUGAAGGGUUUAGAAUAGACUCUUUAAUUGACUCCAUGAUCAAGAAAGUCCUUCCAAUUAGUUGUGUUUGCCUUAGUUAAUGAAUUAAAAACUAACACUCUUAAUUUAGCUGCAGAAUAUUAAUUGCUUGAUGCCUUAUUUCUCGAUAAUAAAUAGUACAUACUUUUAUUCUGUGAGAGCUUGAGCCUUCAACCAACCCUUUUUGAUAGUUUGUUCAACCAUGACUUUCUGAUGUGUGUGAUGUAUUACUACAAAUGUACCCCCAUUUAGGAUAAGCAUUUUUUUUAUUACAUGUUUUUGGUAUAAAUCGUGGUAAGAGAAAAUGACUUCAUUAUAGUCAAAGUAGAAGUAGUAAGUUAUGGUGACAACAGCAGAAAAAGUGAAACUCUGGACUAUGAUAUGCUUUCCAUAGUGAAGUCAUGGACACUAGACGAUUUCAAUUUUUUGUUUUGGCAUCAGAAGUCGUGUGUGUUGAGAAUACGAUUUGUAAGAUGAAGUUGUGACCAAUAGACGAUUUUGAAUUGUUAAUUUUCAUUUAAAAGUCAUGGUGUGAAGAACACGGUUUUGGCAUGGAAGCUGUUAUCUAUGGAUAUUGUUUUUUUCUUU